Molecule: long non-coding RNA, 981 nt
Filed under: Calidris pugnax (ruff)
Lineage: Eukaryota; Metazoa; Chordata; Aves; Charadriiformes; Scolopacidae
Description: lncRNA (ENSCPUG00000000396.1)
Source: RNAcentral
UCAGAAAGUUCUAAACUGUGCUAAAUUGCAUCUUUUCCAGUAUGUCUACUGUGGCCAGGCCUUGUACUAACAGUUUUCUGCAUUAUUAAUUCCAGUGUGGAAGUUUAUAGCUGGAAGCCAAAGAAACCUGCUCUAAGGAAGAGCGUGCCAGAGCCACCUCUAGCUGUUUCAAGCGUGCAACACAGGUGAAUCGCCUGCACAAGCUGGGGCAAGCUCCCCAGACACCAAGUGAACUAGCAUGAGAGGAAUAACACAAUUGCUCGUGAAAACUAGAAAAUCGUCACCAAGCAAUUAAUCCAGAUUAGGAACCCUCUGAAAAUAGAAUGAAACCCAUUGUCUCUUUAAACAAGGCACAUUGCACUCCAUUACAGGUCCAUUUCCAGAGCAUCUGAAAGACAGGGAAUUGGUAGAAGUUGGAAAAACCAAAGCCUUCAAACCUGGCUACAGGACCAAUAUUUUUGCUGUCCCUCAUAAGUGGAAGUCAUUGCAAAGAGACUGUUGCCCUUCUGCUCUGGAUGAAGAUGUUGUGUUUUAAAACUUAAGACAUACAACUGAAGGAAUGAAACAUCCAAGCAAAGAACUACAAAGGCACUAAAAUGAAGCCUGAAGAGACUUGCCAAUGUCAACAGAGAAAAUCUGCUGCACACCCAGCCUUAACAGGAAGCAGAAAUUCCUCACCUAGAGUUGUCUUCUGAACAGAAAGUUUUGGAGAUGAUAAGCUCUGUAAAAGCAUUGGCCCUUGGAUGGUCCCAGCCAACAGGUCUAUGGUGAGAUGGCAAAGUGACUUCCUCUGAAGUAACACAUGCUGUUAUCUCAGAGCACAUUACAAAGCAGAGGUGGACAUGACAUUUACAUCAAAGUUCAAGUCAUCCUUGUUUCAGUGGACACAUAAUUCUGCGGCCCUUUAGUGAUUCCCCAGCUGUGGAGGUUCAGAGUCUAAGGUCAGACCCUCAUAAAUGGGAAUUUACUCAUGCUCAGCUG